GCAGUCGAGCGGACUAAUGGGAGCUUGCUCCCAGAGGUCAGCGGCGGACGGGUGAGUAACACGUGGGCAACCUGCCCUGUAGACUGGGAUAACACCGAGAAAUCGGUGCUAAUACCGGAUAACUUCCAAGGUCUCCUGACCUUCUAUUAAAAGAUGGCUCCGGCUAUCACUACAGGAUGGGCCCGCGGCGCAUUAGCUAGUUGGUGAGGUAACGGCUCACCAAGGCGACGAUGCGUAGCCGACCUGAGAGGGUGAUCGGCCACACUGGGACUGAGACACGGCCCAGACUCCUACGGGAGGCAGCAGUAGGGAAUCUUCCGCAAUGGACGAAAGUCUGACGGAGCAACGCCGCGUGAGUGAUGAAGGAUUUCGGUUCGUAAAGCUCUGUUGUUAGGGAAGAACAAGUGCCGUUCGAAUAGGGCGGCACCUUGACGGUACCUAACCAGAAAGCCACGGCUAACUACGUGCCAGCAGCCGCGGUAAUACGUAGGUGGCAAGCGUUGUCCGGAAUUAUUGGGCGUAAAGCGCGCGCAGGCGGUCUUUUAAGUCUGAUGUGAAAGCCCACGGCUCAACCGUGGAGGGUCAUUGGAAACUGGGAGACUUGAGUACAGAAGAAGAGAGUGGAAUUCCACGUGUAGCGGUGAAAUGCGUAGAUUUGUGGAGGAACACCAGUGGCGAAAGCGACUCUCUGGUCUGUAACUGACGCUUAGGCGCGAAAGCGUGGGGAGCAAACAGGAUUAGAUACCCUGGUAGUCCACGCCGUAAACGAUGAGUGCUAGGUGUUAGGGGUUUCGAUGCCCUUAGUGCCGAAGUUAACACAUUAAGCACUCCGCCUGGGGAGUACGACCGCAAGGUUGAAACUCAAAGGAAUUGACGGGGGCCCGCACAAGCAGUGGAGCAUGUGGUUUAAUUCGAAGCAACGCGAAGAACCUUACCAGGUCUUGACAUCCUUUGACCACCCUAGAGAUAGGGCUUUCCCCUUCGGGGGANAAGUGACAGGUGGUGCAUGGUUGUCGUCAGCUCGUGUCGUGAGAUGUUGGGUUAAGUCCCGCAACGA
RNAcentral lists this ribosomal RNA (1057 nucleotides) under Alkalihalobacillus sp. RNAcentral describes it as "bacterial SSU rRNA". It matches the Rfam family "Bacterial small subunit ribosomal RNA", at positions 57 to 1095 of the family's 1533-position model. Lineage: Bacteria; Bacillati; Bacillota; Bacilli; Caryophanales; Bacillaceae. The record is from RNAcentral.